CCCUUCAGAGGGGGACAACAGUUGGAAACGACUGCUAAUACCGCAUACGAUCUAAUCUCGGCAUCGAGGAUAGAUGAAAGGUGGCCUCUACAUGUAAGCUAUCACUGAAGGAGGGGAUUGCGUCUGAUUAGCUAGUUGGAGGGGUAACGGCCCACCAAGGCGAUGAUCAGUAGCCGGUCUGAGAGGAUGAACGGCCACAUUGGGACUGAGACACGGUCCAA
This 221-nucleotide ribosomal RNA is filed under the name uncultured bacterium. Its description in RNAcentral is "partial 16S ribosomal RNA". It matches the Rfam family "Bacterial small subunit ribosomal RNA", at positions 129 to 334 of the family's 1533-position model. The record is from RNAcentral.